AGAAGGAAGAUAGUGCGCACGUGGGGGAUUUCAUCUGGAAUCCCAGCUUCUCAGUGUGAGUUUAGGGCCAGGAGGUGGAGCACAGACGGGGCCUGUGCCCUGGCCCCCAAGCUCUUUCUGGGGUCCUGGAGUGAGUUUCUGAGAGCCAUAUUGGGUGGUCCUGGGAGGCAGGCUGGCUUGCCUCGUGUUUGUGAGAGUUUUGAGGAGGGGCAUUUGGCCUGUUAGUGGGUGAUGGCAGCAGCCGUUCUGAGAAUAGAGUGUCCUGCAAAGACAAAAUCAGCAGCCCUAGAAUCUUCUAGAGAAGAAUCCCUGAGCACGCUGCCCUUCUGGUGAUUUUUACAGUGCAUCAUCGUCCUCCACACAGUGGCUGGCAAGCCGGACGUGCCCAAUGACUGCUGGUUAUUAUGACUACUGGGACUAUUAUCCGCUCAGCUGGGAAAGAACAUCUGUCCUCACCUCUCAUUUCCUCCCUCUCCAUCUCCCGGGAUGAUUCAGAUUUCUGGAGGCCGAGAAGUUCAAGAUCAAGAUGGCAGCAGGUUAGGCGUCUGGUGGAGGCCCACCACUUCCUGGUUCAGAGAUGGCUGUCUUCUCCUUAUAUCCUCAUGUGACGGAAAGCAGAGAGAAGCACACUCUCUCAGGACUCUUAUAAGAGCAGUAAUCCCGUUCAUGAGGGGUCAACCUUCAUGACCUCAUCUAACUCUAAUCACCUC
This 710-nucleotide long non-coding RNA is filed under the name Equus asinus (donkey). RNAcentral's name for it is "lncRNA (ENSEASG00005025376.1)". The record is from RNAcentral. Lineage: Eukaryota; Metazoa; Chordata; Mammalia; Perissodactyla; Equidae.